Molecule: ribosomal RNA, 436 nt
Filed under: uncultured bacterium
Lineage: Bacteria
Description: bacterial SSU rRNA
Rfam family: Bacterial small subunit ribosomal RNA
Source: RNAcentral
AGAACGACGCUGGCGGCAGGCUUAACACAUGCAAGUCGAACGGUUGUAGCAAUACAGCAGUGGCGCACGGGUGAGUAACGCGUGGAUAUCUGCCUUUUGGUUCGGAAUAACUCCGGGAAACUGGAGCUAAUACCGGAUGGUUCCUACGGGAUAAAGAUUUAUCGCCAAAAGAUGAGUCCGCGUACGAUUAGCUAGUUGGUGAGGUAAUGGCUCACCAAGGCGACGAUCGUUAGCUGGUCUGAGAGGGCGAUCAGCCACACUGGGACUGAGACACGGCCCAGACUCCUACGGGAGGCAGCAGUGGGGAAUAUUGGACAAUGGGGGCAACCCUGAUCCAGCCAUGCCGCGUGAGUGAUGAAGGCCUUCGGGUUGUAAAGCUCUUUUGGCGGGGACGAUGAUGACGGUACCCGCAGAAUAAGCCCCGGCUAACUUCGUG